This 264-nucleotide small RNA is filed under the name Arabidopsis thaliana (thale cress). RNAcentral describes it as "ATSL285570". Lineage: Eukaryota; Viridiplantae; Streptophyta; Magnoliopsida; Brassicales; Brassicaceae. The record is from RNAcentral.
AUUUAAUGAAAACAUGUAAUUAGAAACUAAAAUUACAAAAAUUUAUUUUCACCCAAAAAAAUAGUUUCCGUCAAAAUUUUUCUCUCCACCAAAUUACUAGGAUAGAAUGGACCAUUCUCUUUAAGGCAACGAGAUCCUUCUAAAAAUACUCUGCUUCAAGUAAAUAUGUAUUGUCUCUGUUUCUCGCGAAAUCUCUGGUGUUCGUACAGCUCUUACCUCAAUCAUAUGCUUGGGCACUCAACCGGUGAUUAUGAAAUCUGAUUG